Molecule: transfer RNA, 72 nt
Filed under: Camelus bactrianus (Bactrian camel)
Lineage: Eukaryota; Metazoa; Chordata; Mammalia; Artiodactyla; Camelidae
Also listed under: 1 other name
Rfam family: tRNA
About the family: Transfer RNA (tRNA) molecules are approximately 80 nucleotides in length.
Source: Rfam by way of RNAcentral
GAGGACAUAGCUCAGUGGUAGAGAGCAUGCUUAGCAUGCACGAGGUCCUGGGUUCAAUCCCCAAUACCUCCA